GAGUUUGAUCCUGGCUCAGAGUGAACGCUGGCGGCAGGCCUAACACAUGCAAGUCGAACGGCAGCACAGGAGAGCUUGCUCUCUGGGUGGCGAGUGGCGGACGGGUGAGGAAUACAUCGGAAUCUACCUUGUCGUGGGGGAUAACGUAGGGAAACUUACGCUAAUACCGCAUACGACCUACGGGUGAAAGCGGCGGACCGCAAGGCGUCGCGCGAUUGGAUGAGCCGAUGUCCGAUUAGCUAGUUGGCGGGGUAAAGGCCCACCAAGGCGACGAUCGGUAGCUGGUCUGAGAGGAUGAUCAGCCACACUGGAACUGAGACACGGUCCAGACUCCUACGGGAGGCAGCAGUGGGGAAUAUUGGACAAUGGGCGCAAGCCUGAUCCAGCCAUGCCGCGUGUGUGAAGAAGGCCUUCGGGUUGU
This 421-nucleotide ribosomal RNA is filed under the name uncultured Gammaproteobacteria bacterium. Its description in RNAcentral is "bacterial SSU rRNA". It matches the Rfam family "Bacterial small subunit ribosomal RNA", at positions 9 to 426 of the family's 1533-position model. Lineage: Bacteria; Pseudomonadati; Pseudomonadota; Gammaproteobacteria. The record is from RNAcentral.